AACGAACGCUGGCGGCAUGCCUAACACAUGCAAGUCGAACGAGACCUUCGGGUCUAGUUGCGCACGGGUGCGUAACGCGUGGGAACCUGCCCUUAGGUUCGGAAUAACUCCCCGAAAGGGGUGCUAAUACCGGAUAAUGUCUUCGGACCAAAGAUUUAUCGCCUUUGGAUGGGCCCGCGUUGGAUUAGCUAGUUGGUAGGGUAAAAGCCUACCAAGGCGACGAUCCAUAGCUGGUCUGAGAGGAUGAUCAGCCACACUGGGACUGAGACACGGCCCAGACUCCUACGGGAGGCAGCAGUGGGGAAUAUUGGGCAAUGGGCGAAAGCCUGAUCCAGCAAUGCCGCGUGAGUGAUGAAGGCCUUAGGGUUGUAAAGCUCUUUUACCCGGGAUGAUAAUGACAGUACCGGGAGAAUAAGCUCCGGCUAACUCCGUG
Molecule: ribosomal RNA, 433 nt
Filed under: uncultured bacterium
Lineage: Bacteria
Description: partial 16S ribosomal RNA
Rfam family: Bacterial small subunit ribosomal RNA
Source: RNAcentral